Molecule: ribosomal RNA, 216 nt
Filed under: uncultured bacterium
Lineage: Bacteria
Description: partial 16S ribosomal RNA
Rfam family: Bacterial small subunit ribosomal RNA
Source: RNAcentral
UGGGAACGUGCCCUUUGGUUCGGAACAACUCCGGGAAACUGGAGCUAAUACCGGAUAAGCCCUUCGGGGGAAAGAUUUAUCGCCAAAGGAUCGGCCCGCGUCUGAUUAGCUAGUUGGUAGGGUAAUGGCCUACCAAGGCUACGAUCAGUAACCGACCUGAGAGGGUGACCGGCCACACUGGGACUGAGACACGGCCCAGACUCCUACGGGAGGCAG